This is a long non-coding RNA of Passer domesticus (house sparrow), 2814 nucleotides long. RefSeq lists it as uncharacterized. The record is from RefSeq and is a predicted model, not a curated record. Lineage: Eukaryota; Metazoa; Chordata; Aves; Passeriformes; Passeridae. The transcript has 2 exons.
ACUGGUUUCUUUUUUUCCCAUGUUUCCCACCUGAAGUGACAAAGGGAAAAGCAGCAAGGGAAUGAAAAUUCCCCGAUGAAUGCAUCUGGGGAAAAAAAACAAAACAAUGCAAUGAAAAAAAUUACCACUGAAAGUGACAGAAGAGUGGGUGGAUAAUAAGCCCAAAUAGGACUUGAAAAAAACUUCCCUGGAGGCAGACUCUGACAAAUACAGUAUUGUAUCAAUACAGAGGUAGAAAUCAAGAUUUGAGGAAGGAAUUGGAAAGGAGCUAAAUGGGCCUCUCCUGUGGGGAACCAGGAAAAUUGCCACAAAAAUUUAAGAAAAAAAAAUACAACAGUUAGAUUUGGGCACAUAAACAGUUGCAAAUAAUUAAGCAGCAAGCCGGGAUGAGAUGGUGAGCAAGGCCAGCCCUUCAAUUAAAAUACAUUUGACAACUAGCCUGAGACUGGGGAGGCUACUUAACUGCUUGUUUUCAUGUAGCCAGGAGCUACGAACUAUACACAGAUGGUCCCUAACUCCAGCUGGGAUACAUUUUCCAGGUGAUAUCUUACACCAGAAAUGUUGCAGAGAUUUCUUUUCCUGUGUGUGCUGGAAUCUACCUGUCAGAGCAAAUGGAAGGAGGGAGUACCUGCUUCAUUAAUGUCAUCUAAUCAAGGACCUUAUCAAGCGGAAUGACAAAGGGAGGAAGCCAAACACAGAGAUGUACAAUGUACCUGAACAACACUCACAGAGACAACAACAGGGACAGCCCUGGUCAGCCAGAGUAUGUGGCAAGGGUAUGUGGAGAGGGAGGAUGCUUGUUUCAGAAUGCAGUGAGCACCAAGCUGUUCAGCUGGUGAUUUGGGACCAUGGGGCAGGUAAGAAGGCUGAGGAUCUGGGCAGGGCUGUCAGAAAACCAGGGAGGCCAUGCCUGUACUUGGGGAUCUGCAACAAUGCAUGUGCUUGUGAGGGUAGAGGAGGGAGGCAUGUGUGUUUUCAGUAGUGACCCUCAGCCUUGACAGCCAAAGGGGAAAAAAGGGAAAGGCUGUUUGUUGGUACUUGAGUGAGCCCUGGGCAGAGGUGCUGUUGAAGUUGCUGCUGGUUGAGCAGGAAAGUAGCAGCCACUUUCACCAGCCUGGGACAGAGACACCAGGCCCCCACACGGGUCCAGCAGGGAGAAGGAUGCCCAGCCCCAGAUCUAUGGGUGGCAACCCCUUCCUUUAACAUCCCUUUGCACAACUGGGUACAGAGAAUUGUCAGAAGCAGCAAUGCUAGAAAUACCCAAAUGUAUGCCAGGAGAGACACAUUUUAAAAAAUCUACCAGCAAUAAUUUGCAUAUACCUUGCCUGAGGGGAAAGCCUGAGUGGUACCACUUAUGACAAGAACAUUUUAUUUCAAUUUGCCAAACACUCAAGCUGCCUCCUCAAACCCGAGCUUCCUUCAGCCCAGCUCCUGACAAGAAAAUUACCUUCAUUUCCUCUCUCUUUUUCUUUCGAACAUGUCAUACAAGCAGCAAUAAACUGUGCCCCAAAUAACCUCUCUCACUGUAGAGACAAAGCCCAAGUACACUGCUUUGGGAAAUCUCUCCAUUAAUACCCAAUGGCUUGGACUAUCCCAAGACUUACUUCUGCCAUAACACAAUGCUCCUUUGAAUAUGCUUGUUGUUGAGUUUUUCUGUGUUACCUAAAAUUUCUGCAGGUCAUACCACAGAGGGAGGAAGAGGAGGAAAAGCAUGGUGGAAAGGAUGUCUCAUGACCCAGCUGGAGAGUGCUGAGAGUCAUGGAAGGAAUGGAAGGUAACUGUGGACAUGAGGGAGAGCUAGAGAACCCAUGUCCAUGGGGAAAAGACACAAGGACAGGAGAGAGGGAUUUUUUACAGGUCUCUGACCAAAGGAUGCUCCAAGGUAAUUCAGAGUAUUAAUCAGGGCAAGCUGUUUUGUUCCAUCUAAAUUGAAAUGAGUUUGCCUGUUUAUUUCACUAAUUUUGAACCAGACAACCAUGAUUUUGGAGCUAUGGUAAAGCAUACACUAUAGCAAUUAUUCAUGUAAUUACUAGCAUAUGAAAUAAGAGAAUUCUGAUUAUUGUGAAAGUUGAGCAGUGAGCAGAGAGUGGUAGUGGCCAUGGAAAAGGUAGAAUGCUGAACUACACAAGCCCAUUUCCAUGAAGGGAUAAUGAAAAGCUUCUGAACAGAAUUUGUAUGAUAUAAUUUAAGGUCUUUGUAACACAUCAUCUUUUUAUUCCCACACUCCUGGCAAACUAACACCUCUCUAUAUGCAUAAUAUUUUAUAAUAACUAUGAUCCCAAAGAAUAAAUGACUAUAUUAUGACAUUUUCUCUAGUGUUUACUGUGUUUUCCUGGCAUGUGUUGUUAAUAAGCCCCAUGUCACAUACAGCAUUUUAAAAUGGUUUACAGGAGAAAUCUUUUCAUAGCCUCUAAGACAAUGCAAAACCUACUUCAUCCUUACAUACACAGCAUCUAGCUGCAAACUUCUCAAGGUACAGACAUGUCUCCCUGGAAACACAGACUACAACAGAUGCAUUAUCCUUGGUACCUGAGAGAGGUCACUGUCACGUAUUUCCAAAUAAGUGCAAAAAGCCAUCAAAUGAAUUUAAUUGCCUUCAUUUCUUUUAACUUUUUCCAGCAGAGCAUGGGGCUUGCCUUCAGGCAGUGGCAAUCUUAUUCCUUCUGCUUUUAAAAUCUGUGUUGAAUAAUCACAGAUGUUUUCAUUAAAACAUAGUAAAGCAAAAUCCUUUAACUGUUCUGUUAAAAUGCUGGCUUCAGCGAUGACUUGGACAAUUAAUUAAGGUAAAAUAAAAUGCUUUUAUUGUCUACAUCA